GGAGAGGUGGCUGAGUGGUUGAAAGCGGCAGAUUGCUAAUCUGUUAUACAUUUUUAUUAUUGUAUCGAGGGUUCAAAUCCCUUCCUCUCCU
This 91-nucleotide transfer RNA is filed under the name Porolithon onkodes. Its description in RNAcentral is "tRNA-Ser". It matches the Rfam family "tRNA". From Rfam's summary of the family: Transfer RNA (tRNA) molecules are approximately 80 nucleotides in length. The record is from RNAcentral. Lineage: Eukaryota; Rhodophyta; Florideophyceae; Corallinales; Porolithaceae.